This 441-nucleotide ribosomal RNA is filed under the name uncultured bacterium. RNAcentral's name for it is "partial 16S ribosomal RNA". It matches the Rfam family "Bacterial small subunit ribosomal RNA", at positions 338 to 795 of the family's 1533-position model. The record is from RNAcentral.
CCUACGGGAGGCUGCAGUGGGGAAUAUUGCACAAUGGGGGAAACCCUGAUGCAGCAACGCCGCGUGAGUGAAGAAGUAUUUCGGUAUGUAAAGCUCUAUCAGCAGGGAAGAAGAAAGACGGUACCUGACUAAGCAGCCCCGGCUAACUACGUGCCAGCAGCCGCGGUAAUACGUAGGGGGCAAGCGUUAUCCGGAAUUACUGGGUGUAAAGGGAGCGUAGACGGCUGUGCAAGUCUGAAGUGAAAGCCCGUGGCUCAACCGCGGAACUGCUUUGGAAACUGUAUAGCUGGAGUACUGGAGAGGCAGGCGGAAUGCCUAGUGUAGCGGUGAAAUGCGUAGAUAUUAGGAGGAACACCAGUGGCGAAGGCGGCCUGCUGGACAGAAACUGACGUUGAGGCUCGAAAGCGUGGGGAGCAAACAGGAUUAGAUACCCGUGUAGUC